CAGGAGGGGAGCACUGCUCACCCAGCCCAGCUGGGACCCAGCGCAUGGAAGAAGCCAGCAGGGACUGGCGGAUGAUCCAUGGAGUCCCAGGGCAGACUCUAGCUCAGCUGGGGAAUCCUGCAGUCAAGUCUGGACUGAGCAGUUUGCAUUUAAAAGACCUUGUUUUCCCCAGAACCUAAGGCUCAGGGAAACAGACUGGAUUGAACACCUAGGUUUCUCACCAGCUGUGCCAGCGUGGAGAUGUGGAGCUCCGGUUGGCCACCCUGCAGGAGGUUUUGGCCUCAGGAAUUUCAGCAGGAAGGUGCAGCCGCAGCAAGAAAUGCCAUUUGCUCCAGGCUUCCUUCUGCCCACUGGCUCCUCCUCCGCAUCUCUAAGCCCUGAGUGCCCAGGGCUCAGUCGGGACCUCUUCUCUCUGUCUACGCUUGGUUCGAAGAAGAGAAUGCUCUCGCCUUCGUCUGGACCUGUAAGCCUUGCUUCAGAGGCUACCUUCUCACAGACCCUCCCAGAUCCCCACUGCAUGGGCACUGAGAGUUUGCACCUGUCUCAUAAGGUGCUUUUUAACAGAUUCCUGUUGCACUACAUUGUUGCAAGUUUCCUAGCACCUAUAGAAUUUCCCAGGAGUACAUGCUAAAUGAUUUGGGCAAAUGACUUUCAGACGACUGGGGCUCAGCCUAGCGAAAGAACCCUGCAGUGCACUGAGAAGCGUCUUCAGACUUCAAGGAGAUUAUUUAAAUUUGCCUAAAGCUCUCAAAGUGCUCCUUGAAAGUUCUGCUAAACAAAGAACCAAACCAAGAAAAACCUCUAGGGAAUAAAUGUUGCUAAAAUGGUAGUAAGAUGCAUUUGUAUGAGCAGGAAUUUGAAUAUUAAAUGUUGAAAAGAAAGACAUUUAUUAAUUGGAGAUAAACUCCUGACAACCACUUGAAAUGUAAAUGUGGGACAUGAUCAUAAUGCAGAGAUAUUAAGUUCUCCCUUAGAAAAGUAUUUUUAAAACUUCAUUAGAAAAACAAAACAAAACUUAAUUAGGUUGUAUUUGCCAAAGGUUGCCCAGUCCUCGUGGAGAAGACAGGGCAUCUUUCACGAUACCCAGUGAGCUGGCGCUUGUUGCCCAUGGGUUAUGAGGAGGUCUGUGAUGAGACCUGGAUUAAAAGUGGACACUGGUG
Molecule: long non-coding RNA, 1160 nt
Filed under: Equus caballus (horse)
Lineage: Eukaryota; Metazoa; Chordata; Mammalia; Perissodactyla; Equidae
Description: lncRNA (ENSECAG00000031329.3)
Source: RNAcentral